Molecule: ribosomal RNA, 697 nt
Filed under: uncultured bacterium
Lineage: Bacteria
Description: bacterial SSU rRNA
Rfam family: Bacterial small subunit ribosomal RNA
Source: RNAcentral
UAACACGUAGGGAACCUGCCCGCGCACCGGGAAUACGCUCUGGAAACGGANAACAAAUCCCGAUGUACAGGAAGGAGGCAUCUUCUUUCUGUGAAACAUCCUUUAGGGGAUGGGGCGCGGAUGGACCUGCGGUGCAUUAGUUUGUUGGCGGGGUAAAGGCCCACCAAGACGAUGAUGCAUAGCCGGCCUGAGAGGGCGGACGGCCACAUUGGGACUGAGACACGGCCCAGACUCCUGCGGGAGGCAGCAGUAGGGAAUUUUCGUCAAUGGGCGCAAGCCUGAACGAGCGAUGCCGCGUGAGUGAAGAAGGCCUUCGGGUCGUAAAGCUCUGUUGCGGGGGAAAAAAGGCAGCAUCAGGAAAUGGGUGCUGACUGAUGGUGCCCCGCCAGAAAGUCACGGCUAACUACGUGCCAGCAGCCGCGGUAAUACGUAGGUGGCGAGCGUUAUCCGGAAUGAUUGGGCGUAAAGGGUGCGCAGGCGGUCCUGCAAGUCUGGAGUGAAACGCAUGAGCUCAACUCAUGCAUGGCUUUGGAAACUGGAGGACUGGAGAGCAGGAGAGGGCGGUGGAACUCCAUGUGUAGCGGUAAAAUGCGUAGAUAUAUGGAAGAACACCAGUGGCGAAGGCGGCCGCCUGGCCUGUUGCUGACGCUGAGGCACGAAAGCGUGGGGAGCAAAUAGGAUUAGAUACCCUAGUAGU